UAACACAUGCAAGUCGAACGGAAAGGCCCCUUCGGGGGUACUCGAGUGGCGAACGGGUGAGUAACACGUGGGUGACCUGCCCUGCACUCUGGGAUAAGCCUGGGAAACUGGGUCUAAUACCGGAUAUACCCUUCUGGCCGCAUGGUCUGGGAGGGGAAAGCUUUUGCGGUGUGGGAUGGGCCCGCGGCCUAUCAGCUUGUUGGUGGGGUGAUGGCCUACCAAGGCGACGACGGGUAGCCGGCCUGAGAGGGUGUCCGGCCACACUGGGACUGAGAUACGGCCCAGACUCCUACGGGAGGCAGCAGUGGGGAAUAUUGCACAAUGGGCGGAAGCCUGAUGCAGCGACGCCGCGUGAGGGAUGACGGCCUUCGGGUUGUAAACCUCUUUCAGUGCCGACGAAGCGCAAGUGACGGUAGGCACAGAAGAAGCACCGGCCAACUACGUGCCAGCAGCCGCGGUAAUACGUAGGGUGCGAGCGUUGUCCGGAUUUACUGGGCGUAAAGAGCUCGUAGGUGGUUUGUCGCGUUGUCCGUGAAAUCCCACGGCUUAACUGUGGGCGUGCGGGCGAUACGGGCAGACUAGAGUACUGCAGGGGAGACUGGAAUUCCUGGUGUAGCGGUGGAAUGCGCAGAUAUCAGGAGGAACACCGGUGGCGAAGGCGGGUCUCUGGGCAGUAACUGACGCUGAGGAGCGAAAGCGUGGGGAGCGAACAGGAUUAGAUACCCUGGUAGUCCACGCCGUAAACGGUGGGUACUAGGUGUGGGUUCUUUCCUAAGGAUCCGUGCCGUAGCUAACGCAUUAAGUACCCCGCCUGGGGAGUACGGCCGCAAGGCUAAAACUCAAAGGAAUUGACGGGGGCCCGCACAAGCGGCGGAGCAUGUGGAUUAAUUCGAUGCAACGCGAAGAACCUUACCUGGGUUUGACAUGCACAGGACGCGUCUAGAGAUAGGCGUUCCCUUGUGGCCUGUGUGCAGGUGGUGCAUGGCUGUCGUCAGCUCGUGUCGUGAGAUGUUGGGUUAAGUCCCGCAACGAGCGCAACCCUCGUCCCAUGUUGCCAGCGGGUGAUGCCGGGGACUCAUGGGAGACUGCCGGGGUCAACUCGGAGGAAGGUGGGGAUGACGUCAAGUCAUCAUGCCCCUUAUGUCCAGGGCUUCACACAUGCUACAAUGGCCGGUACAGAGGGCUGCGAAGCCGUGAGGUGGAGCGAAUCCCAGAAAGCCGGUCUCAGUUCGGAUCGGGGUCUGCAACUCGACCCCGUGAAGUCGGAGUCGCUAGUAAUCGCAGAUCAGCAACGCUGCGGUGAAUACGUUCCCGGGCCUUGUACACACCGCCCGUCACGUCAUGAAAGUCGGUAACACCCGAAGCCGGUGGCCUAACCCGUAAGGGAGGGAGCCGUCGAAGGUGGGAUCGGCGAUUGGGACGAAGUCGUAACAAGGUAGCCGUACCGGAAGG
RNAcentral lists this ribosomal RNA (1452 nucleotides) under uncultured compost bacterium. RNAcentral's name for it is "bacterial SSU rRNA". It matches the Rfam family "Bacterial small subunit ribosomal RNA". The record is from RNAcentral.